This is a non-coding RNA of Nicotiana tabacum (common tobacco), 1420 nucleotides long. The record is from RefSeq and is a predicted model, not a curated record. NCBI's taxonomy places the organism in Eukaryota, Viridiplantae, Streptophyta, Magnoliopsida, Solanales, Solanaceae.
UUUCGACAAAGUUCCCUCAUUUCUGAUUUUUAUUUUCUUUUAUACUUAUAAAUAAAGACUAUAAAUAAUAAUCCUAUAAUAUUUGUUUUUUCAACGUUGCUUCAUCGUUUUAGAUGUCAAAGCCUUUACCUCUUCUUCUACAAUGGCUGUCCUUAUUCCUAAUAGUCUCUCAACUCUUCUAUGCUUCUCAAGCUGAUUUAGGAACAGCAAGCCAGUAUAGCCCACCAUACACACCAUAUUGCACAAUUAGAAAUUGCGUGAUCUGGAGGUCAUGUGUUCGAGUCGUGAGAACAGUUCCAUGCAGGAAUACAAAAUAAGGCUACAUCAUGAAUAUUUCUCCACCAAUUUUCUCAAACAGCCAGUGCAUGUUUUGGGAGUGAUUCAACUCAUUCCCUUCAAGCAACUUCUUUGCAGCAGCUGGUGAAGGGAUUUGGGACGAUGGAGCUGCUUGUGGAAGACAGUAUUUGAUUAGUUGCAUUAGCUCAAUUUUGCCCAGAGCUUGUAAAUCAGGAGAGACUAUUCAGAUCAAGAUUGUUGACCGGGCACAAACUGUAGCUUCUAAGCCUACAAGACAAGGAACUACCACAGGCCUUUCUAGUGGUGCUUUUGCUGCAAUUGCUGAUUCAAAUGCCCUUUCUCUUAAUAUCGAUUUUCAACAGUAAGCAAUUCUUCCUAUAUCAGUUUAUUCUACGAGUAACUUUUUUCGAGAAUUCCUUUUUUUUUUCAAAAAGAAUUUUUAUUUUUGAAAAAUUGAUGCAUAUAGAAACGAGUUUCACAUUAAUAGCGGUCACUAUACGAGGUAAGCCAUGACCGUGACUUAAGGUCCGAUCCCUUAUACACUUCGGCCAUCACUAUGGUUUCGACCUUCUAGGUAUCUGGUAUAAAAAGGCAGCUUGGUGUGCUAAGCUUGAAUAGGUCAAAAUCCGACCAUAAGAUGGUUAUUCUUAAAAGGAACGAUAAGGGGUCGACCAAGUCGUAGUCAUGCCCACGGGGCCUGAUAGCAAAGAACACCUCGGCCAUUGCCGGGGUCGAACCAUCAGAAAGCUUAGAUCGCAGGACAGGUGUAAUGUGUGGGCAAGUAAUGAAGGGUACAGUCAUGAGAAAGUACGCCGGUUAAAGACCAUUGGACAAAAGGGAAAGUGGUCAGUAUAUAUAGAGAGGGGAAGGUCACCAAGGGAUCAUCGAAGUCCAGACCUAGCUACAACAUUUUACAAUCAUUAUCAUGGAACCAACGAAGAGAGAUCUCUGAGUCAUCAAUAGCUUUCUCUCUUCACUUCUGUGCUCUUACGAGUAUGGUGCAUGCCUAUAUUAGAUGUAAGCUCAUCAUUCACAUUUGAUGUAUGAUAAUCAUCUUAAGAAAUGUUACAUAAUCUUGUUCUUCUUCGACUUUUGUAUUCAAUAUAUUUGGAUCUAAAUUUAA